GAUGAACGCUAGCGGCAGGCCUAAUACAUGCAAGUCGAACGGGAUCCAGAUCAAAGCUUGCUUUGGUUUGGUGAGAGUGGCGUACGGGUGCGUAACGCGUGAGCAACCUACCCUUGUCAGGGGGAUAGCCCGGCGAAAGUCGGAUUAAUACCGCAUGACAUCAUUGAGAGGCAUCUUUCGAUGAUCAAAGAUUUAUCGGACAAGGAUGGGCUCGCGUGACAUUAGCUAGUUGGUAAGGUAACGGCUUACCAAGGCUACGAUGUCUAGGGGCUCUGAGAGGAGAAGCCCCCACACUGGUACUGAGACACGGACCAGACUCCUACGGGAGGCAGCAGUAAGGAAUAUUGGUCAAUGGACGGAAGUCUGAACCAGCCAUGCCGCGUGCAGGAAGACGGCCCUAUGGGUUGUAAACUGCUUUUAUACGGGAACAAACGUCGGUACGUGUACCGGUCUGAGUGUACCGUAAGAAUAAGGAUCGGCUAACUCCGUG
RNAcentral lists this ribosomal RNA (490 nucleotides) under uncultured bacterium. Its description in RNAcentral is "partial 16S ribosomal RNA". It matches the Rfam family "Bacterial small subunit ribosomal RNA", at positions 28 to 507 of the family's 1533-position model. The record is from RNAcentral.